RNAcentral lists this ribosomal RNA (301 nucleotides) under uncultured bacterium. Its description in RNAcentral is "partial 16S ribosomal RNA". It matches the Rfam family "Bacterial small subunit ribosomal RNA", at positions 509 to 809 of the family's 1533-position model. The record is from RNAcentral.
CAGCCGCCGCGGGAAUACGUAGGGUGCAAGCGUUAAUCGGAAUUACUGGGCGUAAAGCGUGCGCAGGCGGUUAUAUAAGUCAGAUGUGAAAUCCCCGGGCUCAACCUGGGAACUGCAUUUGAGACUGUAUGGCUAGAGUGUGUCAGAGGGGGGUAGAAUUCCACGUGUAGCAGUGAAAUGCGUAGAUAUGUGGAGGAAUACCGAUGGCGAAGGCAGCCCCCUGGGAUAACACUGACGCUCAUGCACGAAAGCGUGGGGAGCAAACAGGAUUAGAUACCCCUGUAGUCCCUGUCUCUUAUCA